UCUGUCUGGUUGAUGUGGACAUUAUGACA
RNAcentral lists this non-coding RNA (29 nucleotides) under Callithrix jacchus (white-tufted-ear marmoset). The record is from RNAcentral. RNAcentral also lists the same sequence under 1 other name. Lineage: Eukaryota; Metazoa; Chordata; Mammalia; Primates; Cebidae.